CAAUAGCGUAUAUUAAAGCUGUUGCGGUUAAAAAGCUCGUAGUUGGAUUUCUGUCAAGGACAACUGGUCCGCCCUUCGGGUGAGCACAUAGUUUGGUCUUGGCAUCUUGUUGGAAACUGUUGCUGCACUUGGUUGUGUGGCGCAGCGUCCAGCACUCUCACUUUGAGGAAAUUGGAGUGUUUCAAGCAGGCACAUGCCUUUGGACACAGUAGCAUGGAAUAAUUAGAUUGGGCUUUUGCUCCAACUUGUCGGUUUCUGGAGCUGAGGUGAGAAUUAAUGGGGAUUGUUGGGGGCAUCCGAAUUUAGCCGUCAGAGGUGAAAUUCUUGGAUCUGCUAAAGACGGACAACUGCGAAAGCGUUUGCCCAGGAUGUUUUCAUUGA
RNAcentral lists this ribosomal RNA (381 nucleotides) under uncultured eukaryote. Its description in RNAcentral is "partial 18S ribosomal RNA". It matches the Rfam family "Eukaryotic small subunit ribosomal RNA", at positions 592 to 976 of the family's 1831-position model. The record is from RNAcentral.